ACCUCACAAAGCAGGGUGGGUUUCAGCUAACAGAUCUCGGAGGCCAUCCAUCCCAGCACUGACAGUCCCCGGGCACGCAUUGGAAACUGGAUGGCUACGUUGCCAGCCAGAGGGCCAUAAAGUGAAAGUCCAGGAGGGAAGGAAGAGUAGGACACGGAGGUCAACACAAUGGGCAAGACGAGCUAAGAGAAGACCACUGCCUGACAUGAGCUUCUUGUUCCCUCCCCACAAGCAUCCACGGCACAGCCCCCGAAUUGUAUGGAAGCUGAAGGCGUGUUCCUUUGAAAACAACAAAGAACCUCCGUAGAGGGCAAUGCCUAGAAAGAGCACAUGCGAAGCUUCUGUAUUAUGGAGCUGGUGGCAGAGAACCGCCCUGAUAACCUCUCCACACCGAGCAUUUUAUUUUUCCUAGAUGUCUGAAAAAUUCGUGAAUUUAAUGCCAAGGCAGUUACAGGGGUCCGACGCAGGUCAGGCGGUCCCAAUCACCCCUCUAACU
Molecule: long non-coding RNA, 496 nt
Organism: Acinonyx jubatus (cheetah)
Lineage: Eukaryota; Metazoa; Chordata; Mammalia; Carnivora; Felidae
Exons: 3
Source: RefSeq, a predicted model, not a curated record